AACGAACGCUGGCGGCAUGCCUAACACAUGCAAGUCGAACGAGACCUUCGGGUCUAGUGGCGCACGGGUGCGUAACGCGUGGGAACCUGCCCUUAGGUUCGGAAUAACUCCCCGAAAGGGGUGCUAAUACCGGAUAAUGUCUUCGGACCAAAGAUUUAUCGCCUUUGGAUGUGCCCGCGUUGGAUUAGCUAGUUGGUAGGGUAAAAGCCUACCAAGGCGACGAUCCAUAGCUGGUCUGAGAGGAUGAUCAGCCACACUGGGACUGAGACACGGCCCAGACUCCUACGGGAGGCAGCAGUGGGGAAUAUUGGACAAUGGGCGAAAGCCUGAUCCAGCAAUGCCGCGUGAGUGAUGAAGGCCUUAGGGUUGUAAAGCUCUUUUAACCGGGAUGAUAAUGACAGUACCGGGAGAAUAAGCUCCGGCUAACUCCGUG
Molecule: ribosomal RNA, 433 nt
Filed under: uncultured bacterium
Lineage: Bacteria
Description: partial 16S ribosomal RNA
Rfam family: Bacterial small subunit ribosomal RNA
Source: RNAcentral